GACAGAGGCCUCGAGCGUUAGGCGGAAUCACUGGGCUUAAAGCGUGUGUAGGCGGGCCCGUAAGUGUCUUGUGAAAUCCCACGGCUCAACCGUGGAACUGCUGGGCAUACUGCGGGUCUUGGGCCAACUAGGGGCAGCCGGAACAAGCGGUGGAGCGGUGAAAUGCGUAGAUAUCGCGUGGAACGCCGAAGGUGAAAACAGGCUGCUGGGGUUGCGCCGACGCUGAGACACGAAAGCCAGGGGAGCAAACGGG
This 253-nucleotide ribosomal RNA is filed under the name uncultured bacterium. RNAcentral's name for it is "partial 16S ribosomal RNA". It matches the Rfam family "Bacterial small subunit ribosomal RNA", at positions 524 to 776 of the family's 1533-position model. The record is from RNAcentral.